Bos taurus (domestic cattle) is the source of this 889-nucleotide long non-coding RNA. NCBI's taxonomy places the organism in Eukaryota, Metazoa, Chordata, Mammalia, Artiodactyla, Bovidae. The record is from Ensembl.
GGUGCAGCAGGAUGGAGGGGCGGGGCCUGACGGUAGCCCUCCUGAGAAGUCUCUGGCCGUCGAGGCAAGGAAAAGAGGUCAUCAGAGUUGUAACUGCGGUGGAAGCAUGGCUGGAUGCUGCAGGCAGCCUAGCAAGGGCCUGGUCUGCUGCUGCUGCUAAGUCGCUUCAGUCUGUCCAGCUCUGCAACCCAGUACACAGCAGCCCACCAGACUCCUCUGUCCCUGGGAUUCUCCAGGCAAGAAUAGUGGAGUGGGUUGCCAUUUCCUCUUCCAAUGCAUGUAUGCAUGCCAAGUCGCUUCAGACGUGCUUGACUCUGUACAACCCCAUAGAUGGCAGCCCACCAGGCUCCUCGGUCCACAGGAUUUUCUAGGUACCAGAGGUACAGAGCACUUGACCAUGGAAUGAAAUGUGAUUCUGUGUCCAGACUACAAAUUAUUACCUAAAUUCUGUCAUAUCAACUAAGUCAUAUGGCCCAUCACAGUUCAUUGUAAGAUGGAAAUUCUACCUUUUGGACCAGGUACAAGCAGGGCCAGAAGACACAAGUAAUCACCAUAAACCAGUUUCCCACUUGCCCCUGUCACCUAUCACUUUUUUUACCAUCACUUCUCCAAGUCACAUCUGUUGUCUCAGGAUGGUUUAUUGUGACCAGCUGAAGGAAAAGAAAACAAGUCAAACGACUUCUGAAUACAUAUAUCAGUACAACCUUGAAAUGGACUACCUCUGUACUAUAGCACCACUCUAUUAGGAUCAAGACUGACCCUGAUAGAUAAUAAUAAAUGGAAAUACACCUGGCAUUUGGAACAUUUGACUACAGCAAGUGCACCCAAUAGUUAUAGCUUCAAGUGGUAUUCCUGGUCAUACAUUUUGUGUUAAAAAAGUGCCGUGAGG